UACGUAGGGGGCAAGCGUUGUCCGGAUUUAUUGGGCGUAAAGAGCGUGUAGGCGGAUUGUUAAGUCAGGGGUGAAAUCCUGGAGCUCAACUCCAGAACUGCCUUUGAUACUGGCGAUCUUGAGUCCGGGAGAGGUGAGUGGAACUGCGAGUGUAGAGGUGAAAUUCGUAGAUAUUCGCAAGAACACCAGUGGCGAAGGCGGCUCACUGGCCCGGUACUGACGCUGAGGUGCGAAAGCGUGGGGAGCAAACAGG
This 253-nucleotide ribosomal RNA is filed under the name uncultured bacterium. Its description in RNAcentral is "partial 16S ribosomal RNA". It matches the Rfam family "Bacterial small subunit ribosomal RNA", at positions 524 to 776 of the family's 1533-position model. The record is from RNAcentral.